GUGUAGGUCACUGAAGCUAGCAGUUCAGUCAUCAUGGAGUCCCAAGGUUUUAGGAAGGGUCUAAACAAGCUCGUCUUUACUGAAAGACUGGACAUAGACCUCAUCACCACAGAUUGGGCCCCAUCAGUAAGAAAAAUCAGGGAGGAAUUCCAAAAUAUCCACCACGAAUCAGAUCCGUGGCAUGUUUCAAAAGGUAAUUUGUUUUAUCAAACCAAUUUGUAUUGUGGCUGACACAAUUACCAUUGUCAAAUCAAGAUUAUAAACAUCACUUUUCUGUAAAUCUUUUGCUGACCUGUGCUAUAACUUCCGUACAUUAGGACAGCAGGUUGCACUGGGAAGGAGAGCCUUUAUAUUUGCUACACAUGCACUUGCAUUUCUUCAACCUAUUUCUGUGUUUCGUUGUGAUUGUACACAGGCCUUAAAAAGAAACUUGUAACACUCGCCAACAAAAGGGACAAAAGGGACCUGCAGGGCUGGCUUCAAUCGAUCCUCAAUCAUUUUAGUAGUAGUAGUAGUCUUUAUUUGUCCCUGUAGGGAAAUUGGGUUGCAGCAGGUCACACAAGGCUUUGGUUCGCUUGCUCAUCUUGCAAUGGGAGUGCAGAGGUAAUUUCCCUAAUUGACGGCAUGGAAGAUAUGCAUAGAUAACAUAAAAACACCAAAAUGCAGUCACAAGACAAUCCGAUAGUCUUACAAGUAAUCUUAAAAUAUAAUCUUUUCUGUAGGAACUGAAACGACGGUGGACCUCACUCCUACACCAUAUAUGUGGGGAGCAUACAUGGAAGCAAGACAGCAAAAUGUGGGCAUGCCCUCACCUUGCCCUAAGCCCAGAUAAGGAAAGGAAUAAGCAAUGGCUCCACCUUGAUUCCCAAGCGGACAAAAGGCUACUGUCAGUUGUCAAAGAUAAAAGACUUCUGAAAGACCUUGAGCAGAUGACUCACUUUAAACCUACUGGUUCUGUGGAGGUGUACCACAAUGUUAUGCUGAAGUAUUUGCCUAAACAACUGCAUUUCGGUUAGGAUACUAUGGUAGCCUGAACACAACUAGCCAUCCUGGACAACAAUUACUAUGUACGCAGAGAGCAGGCAGUGACUUCACAAGGGACUCCAAGAUUCAGUCUGUCAUUCACUAAACAGAGCAAGGAAUGGGUGGCAAAGAAAAUCUACGAGCUUACAAGUCAGUACUUCACCAACCACCUGGUGGAAUGUGUGUUGGAGAGAAGGGAGGAAAAUACCAGAGAAGACAUACCGCAAGUUCAGCAGCCUACAAACAUUGCCACCAAGCAAAGACCCCCAAGGAAGAAGUAAUAGGAAAGCAUCAAACAAGAUUCC
This is a long non-coding RNA of Epinephelus fuscoguttatus (brown-marbled grouper), 1328 nucleotides long. RefSeq lists it as uncharacterized. The transcript has 3 exons. The record is from RefSeq and is a predicted model, not a curated record. Lineage: Eukaryota; Metazoa; Chordata; Actinopteri; Perciformes; Serranidae.